This 917-nucleotide ribosomal RNA is filed under the name uncultured Enterobacteriaceae bacterium. Its description in RNAcentral is "bacterial SSU rRNA". It matches the Rfam family "Bacterial small subunit ribosomal RNA", at positions 28 to 873 of the family's 1533-position model. Lineage: Bacteria; Pseudomonadati; Pseudomonadota; Gammaproteobacteria; Enterobacterales; Enterobacteriaceae. The record is from RNAcentral.
AUUGAACGCUGGCGGCAGGCCUAACACAUGCAAGUCGAACGGUAACAGGAAGCAGCUUGCUGCUUCGCUGACGAGUGGCGGACGGGUGAGUAAUGUCUGGGAAACUGCCUGAUGGAGGGGGAUAACUACUGGAAACGGUAGCUAAUACCGCAUAACGUCGCAAGACCAAAGAGGGGGACCUUAGGGCCUCUUGCCAUCGGAUGUGCCCAGAUGGGAUUAGCUAGUAGGUGGGGUAACGGCUCACCUAGGCGACGAUCCCUAGCUGGUCUGAGAGGAUGACCAGCCACACUGGAACUGAGACACGGUCCAGACUCCUACGGGAGGCAGCAGUGGGGAAUAUUGCACAAUGGGCGCAAGCCUGAUGCAGCCAUGCCGCGUGUAUGAAGAAGGCCUUCGGGUUGUAAAGUACUUUCAGCGGGGAGGAAGGGAGUAAAGUUAAUACCUUUGCUCAUUGACGUUACCCGCAGAAGAAGCACCGGCUAACUCCGUGCCAGCAGCCGCGGGUAAUACGGAGGGUGCAAGCGUUAAUCGGAAUUACUGGGCGUAAAGCGCACGCAGGCGGUUUGUUAAGUCAGAUGUGAAAUCCCCGGGGCUCAACCUGGGAACUGCAUCUGAUACUGGCAAGCUUGAGUCUCGUAGAGGGGGGUAGAAUUCCCCGUGUAUCGGUGAAAUGCGUAUAGAUCUGGAGGGAGCACCGUUGGCUAAGCCGGCCCCCCGGAUCUAAUAAUGACCUCGCUUGUUCAAAACCUGGGGAGCUACCAGGAUUUCAUACCCCAGCGUUUCCCUGGUAUACCUUCCGGGGUUUUUCAUGCUCCUCAUUUCGUCGUCUUUUUUGGAAAAUAAAAAACCCUACCUUUCGUUUCAUGUUGUGGGGUUCACGGACGCCUCCCUGUCUUCCUGUUGCCUGUUUUAUUUUU